CUCUUUUCUCUCCACUUCGCCAUUCACGUGCAGGUUUGUUCGAGUGGCAAAUCUUCAGAACCAUCGACUUUGAGUGGCAAAUCAUCCAUAAAGCACGUCUUCAGAAUCAUCGACUUAUCAUCGACUUUGGGUGGCAAAUCGCCCCAAUUUUGUUUCGAUUUGUUUGAUUGCUGUAGAAUUAGAAGAACUAUGCGCCUGCAAAAAAUUCAGGGGAGGAUGAGGAGAUCAAAAUAAAUUUCAAAUUUGUUAUAGCUUUGGAGCAUCUUGGAGCAAAUGAGCAAUGGAGCUUUUGGAUCACUGCUCACAUGGAGGAUUGCUCACUUGUGAAAGUGCUAUAUUUCUCUGGUAGCAGAAAUGAGUGGCCGCUUUUCU
RNAcentral lists this unclassified non-coding RNA (372 nucleotides) under Hevea brasiliensis (rubber tree). Lineage: Eukaryota; Viridiplantae; Streptophyta; Magnoliopsida; Malpighiales; Euphorbiaceae. The record is from RNAcentral.